UACGAAGGGUGCUAGCGUUGUUCGGAAUCACUGGGCGUAAAGCGCAUGUAGGCGGAUCUUUAAGUCAGGGGUGAAAUCCCGAGGCUCAACCUCGGAACUGCCUUUGAUACUGGGGAUCUCGAGUCCGGGAGAGGUGAGUGGAACUGCGAGUGUAGAGGUGAAAUUCGUAGAUAUUCGCAAGAACACCAGUGGCGAAGGCGGCUCACUGGCCCGGAACUGACGCUGAGGUGCGAAAGCGUGGGGAGCAAACAGG
This 253-nucleotide ribosomal RNA is filed under the name uncultured bacterium. Its description in RNAcentral is "partial 16S ribosomal RNA". It matches the Rfam family "Bacterial small subunit ribosomal RNA", at positions 524 to 776 of the family's 1533-position model. The record is from RNAcentral.